Molecule: small RNA, 59 nt
Filed under: Sinorhizobium meliloti 2011
Lineage: Bacteria; Pseudomonadati; Pseudomonadota; Alphaproteobacteria; Hyphomicrobiales; Rhizobiaceae
Description: putative ncRNA
Source: RNAcentral
AAAACGAUACUCCUUGUUGUCCGGCAAUUCCGCUUGAUCGCCGCGGCCGGCAGGAUUUA